Molecule: ribosomal RNA, 450 nt
Filed under: uncultured organism
Description: partial 16S ribosomal RNA
Rfam family: Bacterial small subunit ribosomal RNA
Source: RNAcentral
ACACUCCUGCGGGAGGCAGCAGUGGGGAAUAUUGGACAAUGGGCGCAAGCCUGAUCCAGCCAUGCCGCGUGAGUGAUGAAGGCCCUAGGGUUGUAAAGCUCUUUCACCGGUGAAGAUAAUGACGGCAACCGGAGAAGAAGCCCCGGCUAACUUCGUGCCAGCAGCCGCGGUAAUACGAAGGGGGCUAGCGUUGUUCGGAUUUACUGGGCGUAAAGCGCACGUAGGCGGACUAUUAAGUCAGGGGUGAAAUCCCGGGGCUCAACCCCGGAACUGCCUUUGAUACUGGUAGUCUUGAGUUCGAGAGAGGUGAGUGGAAUUCCGAGUGUAGAGGUGAAAUUCGUAGAUAUUCGGAGGAACACCAGUGGCGAAGGCGGCUCACUGGCUCGAUACUGACGCUGAGGUGCGAAAGCGUGGGGAGCAAACAGGAUUAGAAACCCCUGUAGUCCCAUG